This 526-nucleotide ribosomal RNA is filed under the name uncultured Gammaproteobacteria bacterium. RNAcentral describes it as "bacterial SSU rRNA". It matches the Rfam family "Bacterial small subunit ribosomal RNA", at positions 8 to 532 of the family's 1533-position model. The record is from RNAcentral. Lineage: Bacteria; Pseudomonadati; Pseudomonadota; Gammaproteobacteria.
AGAGUUUGAUCCUGGCUCAGAUUGAACGCUGGCGGCAGGCCUAACACAUGCAAGUCGAGCGCGAAAGCACUUCGGUGCGAGUAGAGCGGCGGACGGGUGAGUAACGCGUAGGAAUCUACCUGGUAGUGGGGGACAACUUGUGGAAACGCAAGCUAAUACCGCAUACGACCUAAGGGUGAAAGUGGGGGACCUUCGGGCCUCACGCUAUCGGAUGAGCCUGCGUAGGAUUAGCUAGUUGGUGAGGUAAAGGCUCACCAAGGCGACGAUCCUUAGCUGGUCUGAGAGGAUGAUCAGCCACACUGGAACUGAGACACGGUCCAGACUCCUACGGGAGGCAGCAGUGGGGAAUAUUGCGCAAUGGGGGCAACCCUGACGCAGCCAUGCCGCGUGUGUGAAGAAGGCCUUAGGGUUGUAAAGCACUUUCAAUUGGGAAGAAAAGCUAAACGUUAAUAGCGUUUAGCCCUGACAUUACCUUUAGAAGAAGCACCGGCUAACUCCGUGCCAGCAGCCGCGGUAAUAAGGGCGA